This 2881-nucleotide ribosomal RNA is filed under the name Vibrio parahaemolyticus AN-5034. RNAcentral describes it as "bacterial LSU rRNA". It matches the Rfam family "Bacterial large subunit ribosomal RNA". Lineage: Bacteria; Pseudomonadati; Pseudomonadota; Gammaproteobacteria; Vibrionales; Vibrionaceae. The record is from RNAcentral.
GGUUAAGUGACUAAGCGUACACGGUGGAUGCCUUGGCAGUCAGAGGCGAUGAAAGACGUAGUAACUUGCGAUAAGCCCAGAUUAGGUAGUAACAACCAUUUGAGUCUGGGAUUUCUGAAUGGGGAAACCCACGUGCAUAAGCACGUAUCCUUACCUGAUACAUAGGGUAAGGAGGCGAACCGGGGGAACUGAAACAUCUAAGUACCCCGAGGAAAAGAAAUCAACCGAGAUUCCGAAAGUAGCGGCGAGCGAAAUUGGACUAGCCCUUAAGCUUUACACGCGUUAGACGAACGGUCUGGAAAGUCCGACGAUACAGGGUGAUAGUCCCGUAGUUGACGACGUGUGUUCAGUGAAAUCGAGUAGGGCGGGACACGUGAUAUCCUGUCUGAAUAUGGGGGGACCAUCCUCCAAGGCUAAAUACUACUGACUGACCGAUAGUGAACCAGUACCGUGAGGGAAAGGCGAAAAGAACCCCUGUGAGGGGAGUGAAAUAGAACCUGAAACCGUGUACGUACAAGCAGUAGGAGCAGGCUUUGUCCUGUGACUGCGUACCUUUUGUAUAAUGGGUCAGCGACUUAUAUUCAGUGGCAAGGUUAACCAUCUAGGGGAGCCGUAGGGAAACCGAGUCUUAACUGGGCGUUCAGUCUCUGGAUAUAGACCCGAAACCAGGUGAUCUAGCCAUGGGCAGGUUGAAGGUUGAGUAACAUCAACUGGAGGACCGAACCGACUAAUGUUGAAAAAUUAGCGGAUGACUUGUGGCUAGGGGUGAAAGGCCAAUCAAACCUGGAGAUAGCUGGUUCUCCCCGAAAGCUAUUUAGGUAGCGCCUCGGACGAAUACUACUGGGGGUAGAGCACUGUUAAGGCUAGGGGGUCAUCCCGACUUACCAACCCUUUGCAAACUCCGAAUACCAGUAAGUACUAUCCGGGAGACACACGGCGGGUGCUAACGUCCGUCGUGGAGAGGGAACAACCCAGACCGCCAGCUAUGUCCAAAUUACUACUAAGUGGGAACGAUGUGGGAAGCUCAGACAGCCAGGAUGUUGGCUUAGAGCAGCAUCAUUUAAAGAAGCGUAUAGCUCACUGGUCGAGUCGGCCUGCGCGGAAGAUGUAACGGGGCUAAGUAGUAAACCGAAGCUGCGGCAAUGUGCUUUUGCACAUUGGGUAGGGGAGCGUUCUGUAAGCGGUUGAAGGUGUGUGGUAACGCAUGCUGGACGUAUCAGAAGUGCGAAUGCUGACAUGAGUAACGAUAAAGGGGGUGAAAAACCUCCUCGCCGGAAGACCAAGGGUUCCUGUCCAACGUUAAUCGGGGCAGGGUAAGUCGACCCCUAAGGCGAGGCCGAAAGGCGUAGUCGAUGGGAAACGGGUUAAUAUUCCCGUACUUCUUACAAUUGCGAUGGGGGGACGGAGAAGGCUAGGUGGGCCUGGCGACGGUUGUCCAGGUUCAAGUGCGUAGGCUUGAGAGUUAGGUAAAUCCGGCUCUUUUUAAGGCUGAGACACGACGUCGAGCACCUACGGGUGUGAAGUCAUUGAUGCCAUGCUUCCAGGAAAAGCCUCUAAGCUUCAGAUUGUAAGGAAUCGUACCCCAAACCGACACAGGUGGUCGGGUAGAGAAUACCAAGGCGCUUGAGAGAACUCGGGUGAAGGAACUAGGCAAAAUGGUACCGUAACUUCGGGAGAAGGUACGCUCUCGACGGUGAAGUCCCUCGCGGAUGGAGCUAUUGAGAGUCGCAGAUACCAGGUGGCUGCAACUGUUUAUUAAAAACACAGCACUGUGCAAAAUCGUAAGAUGACGUAUACGGUGUGACGCCUGCCCGGUGCCGGAAGGUUAAUUGAUGGGGUUAGACUUCGGUCGAAGCUCUUGAUCGAAGCCCCGGUAAACGGCGGCCGUAACUAUAACGGUCCUAAGGUAGCGAAAUUCCUUGUCGGGUAAGUUCCGACCUGCACGAAUGGCGUAAUGAUGGCCACGCUGUCUCCACCCGAGACUCAGUGAAAUUGAAAUCGCUGUGAAGAUGCAGUGUACCCGCGGCUAGACGGAAAGACCCCGUGAACCUUUACUACAGCUUGGCACUGAACAUUGACCCUACAUGUGUAGGAUAGGUGGGAGGCUUUGAAGCACGUACGCCAGUAUGUGUGGAGCCGUCCUUGAAAUACCACCCUUGUAGUGUUGAUGUUCUAACGUCGACCCCUUAUCGGGGUUGCGGACAGUGCCUGGUGGGUAGUUUGACUGGGGCGGUCUCCUCCCAAAGAGUAACGGAGGAGCACGAAGGUGGGCUAAUCACGGUUGGACAUCGUGAGGUUAGUGCAAUGGCAUAAGCCCGCUUGACUGCGAGAAUGACAAUUCGAGCAGGUGCGAAAGCAGGUCAUAGUGAUCCGGUGGUUCUGAAUGGAAGGGCCAUCGCUCAACGGAUAAAAGGUACUCCGGGGAUAACAGGCUGAUACCGCCCAAGAGUUCAUAUCGACGGCGGUGUUUGGCACCUCGAUGUCGGCUCAUCACAUCCUGGGGCUGAAGUCGGUCCCAAGGGUAUGGCUGUUCGCCAUUUAAAGUGGUACGCGAGCUGGGUUUAGAACGUCGUGAGACAGUUCGGUCCCUAUCUGCCGUGGGCGUUGGAAGAUUGAAGGGGGCUGCUCCUAGUACGAGAGGACCGGAGUGGACGAACCUCUGGUGUUCGGGUUGUGUCGCCAGACGCAUUGCCCGGUAGCUAAGUUCGGAAUCGAUAACCGCUGAAAGCAUCUAAGCGGGAAGCGAGCCCUGAGAUGAGUCUUCCCUGAUACUUUAAGUAUCCUAAAGGGUUGUCGGAGACUACGACGUUGAUAGGUCAGGUGUGUAAGUGCUGUGAGGCAUUGAGCUAACUGAUACUAAUUGCCCGUGAGGCUUAACCAU